UUUCCUCGUUGACACUCCAGUAAUAUUCAGGGACCCGUUGGAGUGGAAGGAUUGGGACGUGCAGCUGCUGUGGGGAUUUUUAUUUGGGCUCACAGGGAGGAAAACUUGAAGACCCAGAUCAGAGUUUCAGCUUCACCCAAACCAUUUUUCUGAAAAUCAAACAUGCUCCUUCCUGAUGCACAGAGACCGAAGGCGUGUCUGCUGUGGGCAGGAUCGUGUUUCCUCUCCCCGCCAUGGCGUGGAACAGAAAAGUUUCCAGCCAAACGAUCUCUAAGCUGGUUUUGGCUGUUAAAGGUCGUCGACCCCUGUUCCAGGACUUCCGUGCUCGUGAAACGAUCCUGGGACGCGGCGUCUCCUGACAUCAGGACUUCAGGUGAACACGGAGCCGAAGCAGAAGAAGUCAAACUUCAGUUCUAGUGUGUUUUUGGACUCUCAGUCGCAGAUUUCUGCUCAGACAUGAACUCAGAAGUUUCAUCCUUAAAUGAGCUUAGCUGCUCGCCUCUGAACAGUUGGACAGGAGGGCGGUUGCCAUGGUUACCGCAGAGCUCCAUCUCCUCUUUUAAACCAUCUGCACAUCAACUUUUUGAGGGUUUGGGGAGGAAUUUUAUCCCAAUCUGUACUGAUUGGUGUGUUUUCUCUUUAAGAGCGAUGAUCCAAACCUUUGUAGGUGAGAAAUCUGGAUAUGGACCCACUUUGAAACAGUUCAAUCGGUCUAAGGGAAACAUGGACCUGGAGCUCCUCUAGGCAAGAACGUUUUCAUCUUUAUGUAAUAAACACCAGCAAACUUUAAACGUGAAGCUGGAGCAGAAGAACA
Oryzias melastigma (Indian medaka) is the source of this 814-nucleotide long non-coding RNA. RefSeq lists it as uncharacterized. The transcript is spliced from 3 exons. The record is from RefSeq and is a predicted model, not a curated record. NCBI's taxonomy places the organism in Eukaryota, Metazoa, Chordata, Actinopteri, Beloniformes, Adrianichthyidae.